AUAUUUAUUGCACAUCGGCAUUAUACGUGAUACCAUCCAGAUUGCUUCGGUAGGAUGUUAUCAUAUAUGUUGAGGAUAAGUUAUUAUCCUUAUUUGGUGUAGCAUAGACAAAGUAUUUCACCGUUUGAGUCAACCCAUUUCAAUUUCUACUAUGGGUCGAUAUAGAAGUGUGAGAACAUGU
This is a small nucleolar RNA of 181 nucleotides. It matches the Rfam family "Small nucleolar RNA snR33".